UUUUUACCAUCAUAUAAUGAUAACAAUCUAGUGUCAUUUACAGAAACAGAUAAGAAAAAUCCUAAAUGUUGAUAUUAUGAAACAUUUAAAUGUAGACAUUAGACCAUAUAUAUGGUCCAAGGUUCAAGCAUAUACAUGUACACAUCUAUACUCGCAUAUACUAUUCUCCAUUACACAAACUUACUUUAAAAAAACACAAAAUAUUACUACGAAUCGCGCUAGCUACUCUUAUUGACACCCUGCAUAUCCAUUGGUGAAUUCGCCAUACUACUAACAGACCCCAUGGUCUGUGAACUCAACUGCGGGCUUGCAGGACAAUUCGCCUCUUGAUUACCCGCACUCAUUGGCGGCUGGAUGGUUCCAGAGCUUAACUGCGGGCUCAUCGGGGUUCGCGCACUCAUUUGCUGGGGGCUAGCCUGUUGUUGGGGCGGUAGUCCCAUUGACGGUGAACCCACCUGCUGAGGUGGCGAUAGAACUGCUUGUAACGGUGAUGUUGAUUCUUGCUGCUGCUGUUGUAAUUGCUGAUGUGGCAUUUGCUGUUGCUGCGGUAAUUGCUGAUGUGGCAUUUGCUGUUGUGGUAACUGCUGCUGCUGUUGUUGCGGAUUCAUGUAAGCGUUCAUCCCGGAUAUCAAUUUCGGUGGGGCCAUGUUGGUGCGUUGCAUUGGGUUCAUGUUCAUGUUGUUAAUGUUGUUACCUCGGUUCAUAUUGGGACCCAGCAUCGAGUAGUUACCGGACCCCGGAUGCACCUGCCGAUUAGCACCCGUCAACCCAGUAAUAUUACCAGAUUGCCCUGCGGCCCCACCUAACAUAUUCCGGUUCUGUGUCAUUCUAAGCUUUGUCGUCAUAAUCGCAGCCUGAGCUGGCGAAAUUUGCCCAGACCUAAGAUGCUGGCUUAUCAUGUUACUAAAAUUCGACGCCUGACUCAUACUCAUCGGGUUCUGACCCAUAUUAUUACCCAUUCCUGAGAUCGCCCCCGUCAUUUGCGGCGAAAUUCCACGGGUCCCACCCAUCAUAUUCCCCAUACCUUGAAGCCCAACCAUAUUAUUCCCCGCAUUACCAAGUCCCAUCAUCAUUUUCCUCUGCAUUUGAAGCGGUUGUUGCUGCUGCAACAUUUGAAGCUGUAGCGCGGACGGUUUAUUCAACAUAUGACCUAAUUGUUGCAUGUUUGAAUUCUGUCCCAUUGCGUUUAACUGCGAUAACGGAUUUGAUCCAAGCAUCAUAGCAGACGAUCUUUGCAGCUGUUGUUGCAUCAAGUGCGGGUUUUGUUGGAACGACGGUUGUGAGUCCGGUUGCAUCGGUCGUGCUGGUAACCCACCCUGAGGAAUUUGCAGCGGUUGUGAGUUUGCGGGUGGAUGCAUUCUUGCACCUGAUGAAUUUACUGAUCCGUUAUUAUUAUUUGGUCCACUAUCGGUUGGUUUUGCAAUUUCGUUAGACGGCUGGCCUGAAACCGAUUCCGGGAUUUCAACUUUGGGGGUGAUUACAGAUGCAUUGUUAUUAGGUUGAUCACCAGAAGAUCGAACAAUAUUAGUUGGCUUUGGUUGAAGAUGAUCGCCUUCAACUUCAUAACCUUCACGAAUUAUCUGCAUACAUAUUUCAAUUUUCAUUUUCAUACACAAUAAAAUCAGAAAUAUGAUUUUUGGAAAUUAGUAAAUUCAAUUUUGAAGGUCCUACCAGUGUACAGAACUGCGCUGCAAGCAAGUCGGCAACGUGCUAAAAUGAUUCAAUUGUUUGGGGCGAAAUCGAGUGCCUUUUUUGGAAACCUUGAAGGAAACCCCCAUUGUUAGUUAUCAAAUGGAAUCGGAGGUUUUGAGU
This 1812-nucleotide long non-coding RNA is filed under the name Helianthus annuus (common sunflower). RNAcentral describes it as "hypothetical non coding rna". Lineage: Eukaryota; Viridiplantae; Streptophyta; Magnoliopsida; Asterales; Asteraceae. The record is from RNAcentral.